RNAcentral lists this ribosomal RNA (587 nucleotides) under uncultured bacterium. RNAcentral's name for it is "bacterial SSU rRNA". It matches the Rfam family "Bacterial small subunit ribosomal RNA", at positions 338 to 916 of the family's 1533-position model. The record is from RNAcentral.
CCUACGGGAGGCAGCAGUAGGGAAUCUUCCACAAUGGGCGAAAGCCUGGUGGAGCAACGCCGCGUGAGUGAUGAAGGCCUUCGGGUUGUAAAACUCUGUCAUUCGGGACGAACCGGAGUCUGAGGAAAUGCAGACUCUCUGACGGUACCGGAGGAGGAAGCCCCGGCUAACUACGUGCCAGCAGCCGCGGUAAUACGUAGGGGGCAAGCGUUGUCCGGAUUCACUGGGCGUAAAGCGCGCGCAGGCGGUGAUGUAAGUCUGAGGUGAAAACCCGAAGCUCAACUUCGGGACUGCCUUGGAUACUGCGUCACUUGAGGAUAGGAGAGGCAAGGGGAAUUCCACGUGUAGCGGUGAAAUGCGUAGAGAUGUGGAGGAACACCUGUGGCGAAGGCGCCUUGCUGGCCUAUUUCUGACGCUGAGGCGCGAAAGCGUGGGGAGCAAACAGGAUUAGAUACCCUGGUAGUCCACGCUGUAAACGAUGAGUGCUGGGUGUAGGUGGGCUCAUACCCAUCUGUGCCGAAGCUAACGCAUUAAGCACUCCGCCUGGGGAGUACGGUCGCAAGCUGAAACUCAAAUGAAAUUGACGG